Molecule: ribosomal RNA, 497 nt
Filed under: uncultured bacterium
Lineage: Bacteria
Description: partial 16S ribosomal RNA
Rfam family: Bacterial small subunit ribosomal RNA
Source: RNAcentral
GAUGAACGCUGGCGGCGUGCCUAAUACAUGCAAGUCGAGCGAACAGACGAGGAGCUUGCUCCUCUGACGUUAGCGGCGGACGGGUGAGUAACACGUGGAUAACCUACCUAUAAGACUGGGGUAACUUCGGGAAACCGGAGCUAAUACCGGAUAAUAUAUUGAACCGCAUGGUUCAAUAGUGAAAGACGGUUUUGCUGUCACUUAUAGAUGGAUCCGCGCCGCAUUAGCUAGUUGGUAAGGUAACGGCUUACCAAGGCGACGAUGCAUAGCCGACCUGAGAGGGUGAUCGGCCACACUGGAACUGAGACACGGUCCAGACUCCUACGGGAGGCAGCAGUAGGGAAUCUUCCGCAAUGGGCGAAAGCCUGACGGAGCAACGCCGCGUGAGUGAUGAAGGUCUUCGGAUCGUAAAACUCUGUUAUUAGGGAAGAACAAAUGUGUAAGUAACUAUGCACGUCUUGACGGUACCUAAUCAGAAAGCCACGGCUAACUACGUG